Molecule: small RNA, 21 nt
Filed under: Arabidopsis thaliana (thale cress)
Lineage: Eukaryota; Viridiplantae; Streptophyta; Magnoliopsida; Brassicales; Brassicaceae
Description: Ath_wt_20011
Source: RNAcentral
UCCGGGCUAGAAGCGACGCAU